AUUGAACGCUGGCGGCAUGCCUUACACAUGCAAGUCGAACGGCAGCACGGGUGCUUGCACCUGGUGGCGAGUGGCGAACGGGUUAGUAAUACAUCGGAACAUGUCCUGUAGUGGGGGAUAGCUCGGCGAAAGCCUGAUUAAUAUCGCAUACGAUCUACGGCUGAAAGCGGGGGACCUUUGGGCCCCGCGCUUUUGGCUCGGCCGAUGGCUGAUUAGCUAGUUGGUGGGGUAAAGGCCUACCAAGGCGACGAUCAGUAGCUGGUCUGAGAGGACGACCAGCCACACUGGGACUGAGACACGGCCCAGACUCCUACGGGAGGCAGCAGUGGGGAAUUUUGGACAAUGGGCGAAAGCCUGAUCCAGCAAUGCCGCGUGUGUGAAGAAGGCCUUCGGGUUGUAAAGCACUUUUGUCCGGAAAGAAAUCCUUGGCCCUAAUACGGUCGGGGGAUGACGGUACCGGAAGAAUAAGCACCGGCUAACUACGUG
This 486-nucleotide ribosomal RNA is filed under the name uncultured bacterium. RNAcentral's name for it is "partial 16S ribosomal RNA". It matches the Rfam family "Bacterial small subunit ribosomal RNA", at positions 30 to 507 of the family's 1533-position model. The record is from RNAcentral.